UACGGAGGAUCCGAGCGUUAUCCGGAAUUAUUGGGUUUAAAGGGUGCGUAGGCGGCCUGAUAAGUCAGGGGUGAAAGACGGUGGCUCAACCAUCGCAGUGCCUUUGAUACUGUCGGGCUUGAAUGUACUUGAGGUAGGCGGAAUGUGACAAGUAGCGGUGAAAUGCAUAGAUAUGUCACAGAACACCGAUUGCGAAGGCAGCUUACUAAAGUAUGAUUGACGCUGAGGCACGAAAGCGUGGGGAUCAAACAGG
Molecule: ribosomal RNA, 253 nt
Filed under: uncultured bacterium
Lineage: Bacteria
Description: partial 16S ribosomal RNA
Rfam family: Bacterial small subunit ribosomal RNA
Source: RNAcentral